Non-coding RNA from Chelonoidis abingdonii (Abingdon island giant tortoise), 274 nucleotides. NCBI's taxonomy places the organism in Eukaryota, Metazoa, Chordata, Testudines, Testudinidae. The record is from RefSeq and is a predicted model, not a curated record.
CUAGGUGGCCUGCUCAUGGUCAUCCGGGAAGGCAAGGGCUGCUAGGGUUUUUGGGUAGCGCUUCUUUACCUGUGAGAAUAGAAACUUAACACAUUUUAUUAGUGCCUGGCAGUGUUUUGCAGAUUUUAUAGCUGCUUGGGCACAUUUACAUAUACCUCCUUUUCUUGGUUAUUAGCCAAGUUUUAGCUGUGAGCAGGGUCCUUGAAUGGAGCCAGUGUCUUAUCUUCAGCCUGCUAGCUAUUUUUUUUUUUUAGUUAAUUUAUUUUUUUUGGCU